CUUCUUUUUAAACAAUGGCCUAUUGUGCACAUGCCCUUUGCUGUGUUUCUAGAUUUCAUGUGCCCUCCCUCAGCUUCUUCUACAAAGUCCGCUUGAUGAAAAGGCUUCAGAAACACUGCUGAGAUGAAAAGAUGGCCCCUGCCUUAGUCUGCCUCUCUGCAGCUUAAGAUCUUACUUCUUAUGAGAGCUUCAAGAAACAAGAGAGGAGAAAAUUAUUCCUAUGGGAGAGCAUUCCAGGUGCUCGACUCCUGCACCUGAGCCCUUGUGGCCCCCUCUUCGUGUCUCACAUGUACCCACACUGUGCAGGAUAUGUGCAAGAACAGCGAUUCUUGAUGCUUUUCCUUUCACCAGAUGAGGACUUCUCUUCCUCUCUGCUCCUCUGUUCACAUAUUUGCCUCCUAUUACCUCUCAUCAUCAGACUUCACUAGGAGAAUUCAUUAGUGUAUAUAACAUGCUCUGAGUUUGUUCAAAUAACGGUGAUGUUACACUUUUUCACUUUUAUAGACUCUUUUAUCUGAAGAUCAAAGUAGUUAGUUAUCAUUACCAUGACCGGAUUAUUGCUGCUUAGCCUUUGGAUCUAAGGGUAAGCGGCAACUCUUCUGCGUAGGCAUUAAUGAGAACUACUGGAUGGUUUCAUUAAAUUGAUUGAAUGCCUUAAAGUAUGUUAAUGCUUACAGAAAGAGGUGCAUACACAUGCUGUAUGCUUCCUUCCUUUCUACCUGAUGGUUUGAGUUAGGUGACACCUGGCUGUCACUCAGUUUCUUUGGUCCACGUGAAAACAGAAGAAAGACCAUCACGGAGGAUCUCAGAGGUGCCUCCUUCAACCCCAGACUCUGUCCAAGCACAGAAAAUUUUUCGUCCCUAUUUUUCAGCAUGACCCACAUAUCCCCAGCACAUCCUGGUUGUGCCACACUGGCGUCUCAGAUGGCAGAGUAGUCCCAAUGAGACAUUUAGUAUCUCAUCACUCCAAACAGCACAAUCUCAUCUCAAGAUCUUGACCUGCCAGUGCAUUCAUUGAUCCCUAGAGAAGACAAAGCAAUUUAGGCUUAUUCCAAGCAGGCCAGUUGUGAAAAUGUUAAUGACUAAGAAACCUUUGUGCUGGACCAGAACAAACUCAAAAUACCCUGGUGAGAUAUUUGCUUGGCUGGAGCUUUUGCCUGAAACAGAGAAAAUAACAGAAUGAAGGAAGAUGAGAGAAUGAGGUGGGGGAACUCUUUGUGUAACCCGCUUUGCUCUACAAAGCCCAGAUACCUUAGCAUCAGGAGCAAGACCUUCUGAGAGGAAACUUCACUGAUAGAAAGCAAAGCAGCAGCUUUCACAGAGGGAUGCUUUUGAAUUUUUCUUAAUAUUUAAAUUGCAUAUGUACUCAAACAGUUUGUGAACCCAGAGACUGUGUUGU
Non-coding RNA from Anas platyrhynchos (mallard), 1399 nucleotides. Lineage: Eukaryota; Metazoa; Chordata; Aves; Anseriformes; Anatidae. The record is from RefSeq and is a predicted model, not a curated record.